Molecule: ribosomal RNA, 253 nt
Filed under: uncultured bacterium
Lineage: Bacteria
Description: partial 16S ribosomal RNA
Rfam family: Bacterial small subunit ribosomal RNA
Source: RNAcentral
UACGUAGGGGGCUAGCGUUGUCCGGAUUUAUUGGGCGUAAAGAGCGUGUAGGCGGCCAGGUAGGUCUGGCGUGAAAACUCGAGGCUUAACCUCGAGAUGUCAUCGGAAACCAUUUGGCUAGAGUCCGGAAGAGGAGAGUGGAAUUCCUGGUGUAGCGGUGAAAUGCGCAGAUAUCAGGAAGAACACCAAUGGCGAAAGCAGCUCUCUGGGACGGUACUGACGCUGAGACGCGAAAGCGUGGGGAGCGAACAGG